Peromyscus eremicus (cactus mouse) is the source of this 1268-nucleotide long non-coding RNA. RefSeq lists it as uncharacterized. The record is from RefSeq and is a predicted model, not a curated record. Lineage: Eukaryota; Metazoa; Chordata; Mammalia; Rodentia; Cricetidae. The transcript is spliced from 2 exons.
UGCAUUGCAGGUGCAUGAACUUCCUCUUGCCUGUUACAUUUAUUUUGAAUUUUUAAAUGAAUAUGAGUAUUUUAUCUGAAUGCAUGGAUUUGCAUUAUGUGGGUACCGGGUCCUCACAGUGAUCAAAAGAUGGUCUCAGUAACCCUGAACUUGGAAUAAUGGAUAGUUGUGUUCCCUCAUAUAAGUACUGGCAAUUGAGCCCACCUCUAUCCAACACCAGCAAGAGCUUUUUACUAGCUUUCCAUCUCUCUUGCCAUGUGUUGAUUAUUUAUGAUCAAAAUUUAAAUGCCUAAUGCUUUCAUGUUUUAUUUUAUAACUAUUUAAAACUAUUAUAGUACCUUUUAGUAAAUUCAUAUUUUUGUUAUAGUUUGAAUUGGGGCACUUCAGGAUUCUUGAUGACUACAGAACUAAAGUAAAUGCAUAACACUUUGUAGGAACUACAGGAAAAACUUCUUAGUUCUUUCGAUCUUUCUUUUUCUACUGAUUUUUGCUUGGGAGACAGAAUCUUAACAUGUACUAUUGGUUUGCCUAGACUUGAUUGCAUACACUAGGCUGGGAUUCAACUCAGAGGCAUUUCUCUUCUGAGUCUUACAUUUAAAGGCAAGUGCCAAUACACCCAGUUUAUCCAUCUUAUUUUUCUUCUCUACAGUUAGUAAUUGUUCAUACAAUUUCUCUCAUGUGUACUCUGUACUGUUAAUCUGUUUAAUUGUCUCUCUAUGUUUGUCAAUAAACAUUUCUCUUGCAAGGUGAUAUUCCAUUCUAAUGGUACAGAAAUGACAGAAGUGAUCCUCUUAUUCAGUUUCCUUCUAAAGUGACUUGUUGACUACAUUAUAAUUUGUAUGUCAUGAAAGAAGUGUGAGGAGCAUCAGAAUUAUUUGACUCUACUCUCAAAGAAGUAUACAUUUACAUUGUUGUCAGUAUUAUGGUUUCUCUUGUACACAUGUAUGGGAUAUUUUAGAAUGCAGUGACCUAAGAUGAUGUGCAUGUCUACUUCAUUUGGGAAGAAUGGACUUUACUGGAUCCUUCCCAGAAGAAUCUCUACAAAGAUGUGAUGAUUGAGACCUACACGAACCUCACUAUUAUAGGAUACAAUUGGGAAAACCAUAAUACUGAAGAGCAUCCUCAAAGUUCUAGAGGAGAUGAAAGGUAAUUUUCUUGUGCUAGUUGAUACAAAUGUGCCUCUGAAGAAAUUAAAAUGUGUCCUGGAUGUUUUAAACAAAAGCAACAGUGUAAAUAACACAGAUUAAAGUACAUCAAUGAUUAUUAAA